RNAcentral lists this ribosomal RNA (1075 nucleotides) under Escherichia coli. Its description in RNAcentral is "partial 23S ribosomal RNA". It matches the Rfam family "Bacterial large subunit ribosomal RNA", at positions 74 to 1191 of the family's 2925-position model. The record is from RNAcentral. Lineage: Bacteria; Pseudomonadati; Pseudomonadota; Gammaproteobacteria; Enterobacterales; Enterobacteriaceae.
AGCGUCGGUGAGGUGAUAUGAACCGUUAUAACCGGCGAUUUCCGAAUGGGGAAACCCAGUGUGUUUCGACACACUAUCAUUAACUGAAUCCAUAGGUUAAUGAGGCGAACCGGGGGAACUGAAACAUCUAAGUACCCCGAGGAAAAGAAAUCAACCGAGAUUCCCCCAGUAGCGGCGAGCGAACGGGGAGGAGCCCAGAGCCUGAAUCAGUGUGUGUGUUAGUGGAAGCGUCUGGAAAGGCGCGCGAUACAGGGUGACAGCCCCGUACACAAAAAUGCACAUAUUGUGAGCUCGAUGAGUAGGGCGGGACACGUGGUAUCCUGUCUGAAUAUGGGGGGACCAUCCUCCAAGGCUAAAUACUCCUGACUGACCGAUAGUGAACCAGUACCGUGAGGGAAAGGCGAAAAGAACCCCGGCGAGGGGAGUGAAAAAGAACCUGAAACCGUGUACGUACAAGCAGUGGGAGCCUCUUAAUGGGGUGACUGCGUACCUUUUGUAUAAUGGGUCAGCGACUUAUAUUCUGUAGCAAGGUUAACCGAAUAGGGGAGCCGAAGGGAAACCGAGUCUUAACUGGGCGUUAAGUUGCAGGGUAUAGACCCGAAACCCGGUGAUCUAGCCAUGGGCAGGUUGAAGGUUGGGUAACACUAACUGGAGGACCGAACCGACUAAUGUUGAAAAAUUAGCGGAUGACUUGUGGCUGGGGGUGAAAGGCCAAUCAAACCGGGAGAUAGCUGGUUCUCCCCGAAAGCUAUUUAGGUAGCGCCUCGUGAAUUCAUCUCCGGGGGUAGAGCACUGUUUCGGCAAGGGGGUCAUCCCGACUUACCAACCCGAUGCAAACUGCGAAUACCGGAGAAUGUUAUCACGGGAGACACACGGCGGGUGCUAACGUCCGUCGUGAAGAGGGAAACAACCCAGACCGCCAGCUAAGGUCCCAAAGUCAUGGUUAAGUGGGAAACGAUGUGGGAAGGCCCAGACAGCCAGGAUGUUGGCUUAGAAGCAGCCAUCAUUUAAAGAAAGCGUAAUAGCUCACUGGUCGAGUCGGCCUGCGCGGAAGAUGUAACGGGGCUAAACCAUG